AAAUAACGUUAUUGUUUAACUUCAGCCCCUUUGGUAGAAAACAAACCCUAAGCACUCUCUUCACCCUCUUCUAGUUCUCUCCGAUCUUCAACGUUCGGCCCCUCCCCUCCGAUCGAAGACGCCGGCGACUGUAACUCAGAUCAGACCAGCCGCACUCGCCCUCCGUUUUGGUCUCGGUUUAAAGAACUGCUGCCACCGACCGUGUUUUUGUUGUAUUGACAACCACUCUUAUGCUCUCCCUGCCUUCGAUGAUGGUCCAGUCGAUGCUUCCGGUUCUGCUUGCUACGAUGAAGAUCCUAACUCAAUAUUUGCCGAUGCUUCUAAGGAUUAUGAUGAGGAAGAGAAUGGAGGUUUUGGGUCAUCUAUGCAAUCUCGUGGGGAAGUUGGUGGAAUGUCGUCACCGGAAAAUGUUAGAAGAGAGAUUUUGGAGCUUGAGUUCCCUGAAGAUGGUUACAAUUAUUUAAUUUUCUGUAUCUUCGGGAGAUUAAGAAUACUGUUGGUGGUUCGACAUUUUAUCAGAACCCCAAGGCCAAGCUGAAACAUGUUCUACGGGAUGAGAAGAUCUACCAUACUUGGAAAAAGCAAGAGGAAACAAGGGAAGGCGCUUGUUGGUUAGUUAAAGUAGUUCCAAAUACUUCUAUGACGCACCUUCCUUCAGGGAUACAAUGGCUCCAAGGCAAGAUCGAAAUCAAUGGUUAUGAUGUAAAUGGUGCAGAGUACUGAUCUGUUGGAUGUAAUGAGAAAUAUAGCAUCAUUGAGAGCUUUCUCUUUGCUAGGGAUGUAAAACUAAGGUUGGCUUGAGGAAACAUAAUGUGCUCCAUCCUAAAAGAACAGAAAGGUUGGUGGAAAAGGUUCUCGAAAACAGAAGAAAAACCUGCUCUAUACUUGAAGGUUGGCUGGACCAAAUAGUGUGGUGAGGAUGAGUCAGACUGUAAGUUCCUAUUUGUUUCACAGAUGCUCUCAAACACCUUAGGAAAUGUAGAUAGAAUAUACAAAAAAGGGAGAACCUCAGUUCUAAAGGAAGUUACAUUAAAACUCUCCGAUGGCAUAAAAGUUUGUUAGACUAUAAUUUGUGAAAUCCCAGAAGAAGCCUAACAGAUUCUCCAUUUCUUCCUUGAAAGCAUGGGCCAAUAAUUGAUAGGAAAACAUCCAUAUUGAGCUUCUCCUUUUUGUAUUCAACAAUCUGAGUUUUCCAACUUUACAUUUAUCUACUUGAAUUUUCUAACCUUCCAUGGCAAAUAUCCUGCCUUGAAAAUAUUUUAAAUGCCCUUGAAAUAAUUUUAUUAUAUUGGUUUAUGAUGGAAGUGGAUAAGUAUCAGUAGGUAAAUAGGGAAAAUAUUGUUAGGAAUUGUAGCAAUGACAAUGUGGCGUAUUUAUAAUCACUUACAUGUUGGUUUGUGUUGAAAUUUAUGAAAAGAUGAAGUUCGGUUUGGCUAGGCAGAAUUUUGAAGAUUAGUUCUGGUGGAGAGAGAUAGCUCUCUUUAAACACUAGACUAGUAUACUUUUUCAGUUUUUCUUUUUUAUUAUCAUACAAUUCCCGUAUUUAAUUUUCUUAUCCCCACCCCUAAGAUUGGGAUCCUUAGCUUCUGUUUACUUAAAUAUGAAACUGUCAUCCAUGGAAUAGGCUAUGCUAUUUGUCAAGUUUAACUAACCGCUUGUAGCUUCAAAGUUCUUUGAAGUAGAACUUGAUCUUGCAUUGUGUAAUUCUAACACUCGAGUUCUAGCAAUAUAACUGAUUUUUCAGCCGCUUUGACUUCUGAUGACGAACUUGAAGUAUGUUGCUUCCAUUUACUUCCCUUUUGCUCUAGUUAGCCGAGCAUUUAAGUUGCUUAAACAAGCUACGUAAAUAAUUUUCUACAGUAGAUGGGCCAAGAUGAUGGAAGCGGGAAGGAUGGAGGAAUGCUUUACUUGACAGACCUGCCAUACUUGGAAAAAGAAAGAGGAAAAUAGGAAAGGCCGCUGUAAAUAGCUAACAACUUGAAGGUGAGGUUUGCAUAAUAAUAUCCUAGAAUAAUUAGAUUGCUUUCUUGUUUGAGUUUUGUAUCAAGUCUGAUUGGUGCCGAUAAAGUUGGCCGACUUUGCUGCUUCAUUGUUCAUCAUUUUUCUCUUUCGUUUUGUCAUAUAUUCUUGAACCUUCCCUUACAUUUUGACUUUGAAAUGGUGGUGUCUUUAUUUUCCGCCAUUGUGUUUGCCCGCAGCAUUUCAUAACCAAUAUUGGUUAGAUGUUAGCAGUAGAGAGUGUAUAUAUAUAUAAUCAAGUGAUGCUCUUAGAGUUGUAUCACUUCUAACUCCUAAAUAAUGUUUUAUAUCAAA
Molecule: long non-coding RNA, 2313 nt
Organism: Cucumis melo (muskmelon)
Lineage: Eukaryota; Viridiplantae; Streptophyta; Magnoliopsida; Cucurbitales; Cucurbitaceae
Exons: 6
Source: RefSeq, a predicted model, not a curated record